UUCUGAUGAUAUCUAUAUUUUUACUACUACACCAAGAUCGCAGAACGAUCGUGUUGAAUAUUCUUUCUGA
RNAcentral lists this small nucleolar RNA (70 nucleotides) under Drosophila virilis. Its description in RNAcentral is "snoRNA:GJ25412". The record is from RNAcentral. Lineage: Eukaryota; Metazoa; Arthropoda; Insecta; Diptera; Drosophilidae.